RNAcentral lists this ribosomal RNA (119 nucleotides) under Pteropus alecto (black flying fox). The record is from RNAcentral. Lineage: Eukaryota; Metazoa; Chordata; Mammalia; Chiroptera; Pteropodidae.
GUCUAUGGCCAUGCCACCCUGAACAAGCCCGAUCCUGUCUGAUCUCAGAAGCUAAGCAGGGUCGGGCCUGGUUAGUACUUGGAUGGGAGACCACCUAGGAAGACCAGGUGCUGUAGGCC